ACACACACUUCAGAGUUUGAUCCUGGCUCAGGAUGAACGCUGGCGGCGUGCCUAAUACAUGCAAGUCGAGCGAACAGACGAGGAGCUUGCUCCUUUGACGUUAGCGGCGGACGGGUGAGUAACACGUGGGUAACCUACCUAUAAGACUGGAAUAACUUCGGGAAACCGGAGCUAAUACCGGAUAAUAUUUCGAACCGCAUGGUUCGAUAGUGAAAGAUGGCUCUGCUAUCACUUAUAGAUGGACCUGCGCCGUAUUAGCUAGUUGGUAAGGUAACGGCUUACCAAGGCAACGAUACGUAGCCGACCUGAGAGGGUGAUCGGCCACACUGGAACUGAGACACGGUCCAG
RNAcentral lists this ribosomal RNA (348 nucleotides) under uncultured bacterium. Its description in RNAcentral is "bacterial SSU rRNA". It matches the Rfam family "Bacterial small subunit ribosomal RNA", at positions 1 to 334 of the family's 1533-position model. The record is from RNAcentral.